CUGUAAUAACACUGGAACGCUAACUGCAGAUAAAUAUGCCCAUACUUGCCUGAAGCCAAAAUGGCGCUUCUCGCGAGCACGGCCAGCAAUAAAUUAACUUUCAAAAGGACUGGGGAGAGUUUCGAGGAGCGGGAAAUUCAGUCAAAAGUUUGUUUUUGAGCGAAAAUCAGCGAGAAAAAGUACUUUUUUUAUCAAAAGGCUUCAACUUUAAAGAUUCAAACCUGGUUUCCUGGAUAGUUCUAAGUAUUUUACAUCCACUAACAGCAAAAACUUCCUGGGUAACAGCUUGAUAUUCAAAAUAUUACACAAGUUUGAACGUGCCGAAAAAACUUCGCACUUUGACUCCUGAAAAAAGAACUUUAUAACUGCUCUACGUUCUGGAAACAUGUUUUGUAUUAAAUUUCAGGUAUUGUUGAAAGUUUUUAGCUUUUUUCCUUGUUGAAAUACAGCUAUUUAGUGGUCGAAAACAGACGUCUUUUAGGCGGCGUAUUUUCCACUCCAUACCUACAUGGCGGCCAUCAUGAGUGGCUUCAAAGAUGGCGGCCAAGUUAUCGUUCCAGUUCUCUUAGAGUUCACUGAGUGUAUGUACCCCAUUGAACUAUAAAUAAACUGGAAGGCUAACUGCUAUGAUGAAGGCCUAUGAUUUGAUGAAGCCAAAAUAGUUUUUCUGAGUUAUGAGCAGAAAUACUUGACCCCAAACGUCGGGCUACAUAUCAAAUUGAAGCUAUUGAAAAUUGCUAUUCGGUGUGGAAAUUUCAAGACUUCAGCGAAAAGAAAAAUCUUUAAAAAAUACAAAAACAACUGCAAAACGGCAAAUUAUCGGUAAUUAUGUUUGUAGUUUUUCAAUAUUUCCCUUUUAGCUAAAGUCUUGAAAUUUCUACACCAAAUAGAGUUUUUCAAUAGCUUCAAUUUGAUAUAUAGCCUAGCGUUCAGUGUUGAGUAUUUCUGCUCAUAACUCAGAAAAACUAAAAUGCACUGGCUUCAAUUUCCCCCCCUGAG
Molecule: non-coding RNA, 999 nt
Organism: Paramuricea clavata
Lineage: Eukaryota; Metazoa; Cnidaria; Anthozoa; Malacalcyonacea; Plexauridae
Source: the annotation of a GenBank genome assembly